RNAcentral lists this ribosomal RNA (253 nucleotides) under uncultured bacterium. RNAcentral's name for it is "partial 16S ribosomal RNA". It matches the Rfam family "Bacterial small subunit ribosomal RNA", at positions 524 to 776 of the family's 1533-position model. The record is from RNAcentral.
UACGUAGGGGGCAAGCGUUGUCCGGAAUCAUUGGGCGUAAAGAGCGUGUAGGCGGUCCGGUCAGUCGGUUGUGAAAGUCAAGGGCUCAACCCUUGAAUGCCGGCCGAUACUGCCGGGCUAGAGUCCGGAAGAGGUGAGUGGAAUUCCUGGUGUAGCGGUGGAAUGCGCAGAUAUCAGGAGGAACACCGAUGGCGAAGGCAGUUCUCUGGGCCGUAACUGACGCUGAGGAGCGAAAGCGUGGGGAGCGAACAGG